Molecule: small RNA, 137 nt
Filed under: Salmonella enterica
Lineage: Bacteria; Pseudomonadati; Pseudomonadota; Gammaproteobacteria; Enterobacterales; Enterobacteriaceae
Description: RtT sRNA
Rfam family: RtT RNA
About the family: This family represents a bacterial cis-regulatory element known as RtT RNA. The exact function of RtT is unknown although it is thought that it may be involved in changing the cellular response in relation to amino acid starvation.
Source: RNAcentral
UAUCCCCCAAACUAAGGGGGGAUGAGAACCACCGACCGGGGUUCGACAACUGGCGCAGCCAGUUGGACAGACGACGAGCUUGUGAGGAGACUGCCCGAAGGGCGAGCGCAGCGAGUCAAUCCCCCCCCUCACCGCCA